UACAGAGGGUGCGAGCGUUAAUCGGAAUUACUGGGCGUAAAGCGCGCGUAGGCGGCUUUGCAAGUCGGGUGUGAAAUCCCCAGGCUUAACCUGGGAACUGCAUUCGAGACUGCAUUGCUAGAGUAUGGGAGAGGGAAGUGGAAUUUCCGGUGUAGCGGUGAAAUGCGUAGAUAUCGGAAGGAACAUCAGUGGCGAAAGCGACUUCCUGGACCAAUACUGACGCUCAUGUGCGAAAGCUAGGGGAGCAAACGGG
Molecule: ribosomal RNA, 253 nt
Filed under: uncultured bacterium
Lineage: Bacteria
Description: partial 16S ribosomal RNA
Rfam family: Bacterial small subunit ribosomal RNA
Source: RNAcentral